RNAcentral lists this small RNA (101 nucleotides) under Arabidopsis thaliana (thale cress). Its description in RNAcentral is "ATSL044070". Lineage: Eukaryota; Viridiplantae; Streptophyta; Magnoliopsida; Brassicales; Brassicaceae. The record is from RNAcentral.
AAUUCAUUAGAGUUCAUGGGUUGAGUUGAAUUGGAUUGACCCAUGAAACUUGACCUAUUUUGACAACCCUAAAAAUAGUCUAUAAAAAAACAAUUGUAAAU